UAGCAACUCAAGACAAAAAAGCCGUCUUCAAUGUAGUGCUGUUCGACAUCUGUAUUUUGACUCUACUCCUUCAGGUCCUGAUGGUGGUACCAGACUGGUCACUAGAAGAUGCCUGUUACUGAACUACCUCAAGGUCCUGACUGUUGUACCAGACUGGCCACUAGCAGGAAGCUCUUUGCUGUGACAGUGAAUGAAGUUGAUGUCCUUGUGGGUCUGCAGUCUUCAGGAAGGUCUUGACUGUUCCAGCCUGGCCACUGGAGAACUGUUGCUGUACGACCUCAAGGUUUCUGCCCCUCUGGUUGAGGUCCUGGUGUCUGCAGGGUUUGGAAAGAUCUGGUUGGCUGCUGAAGUGUUGCUGUGCUGAUGGAGUGGGAAGCUCUCCUGUUUUACACCGGCAAGACCUCUUACACUCCUGAUUGGUCAGCAAGGGAAGUGGGGGAAACCAGGCCAAGUCAAUUCAACCUCACGACUGUGUUUUGAUGUAUGAAUAAAUCUACAAAUGAA
Molecule: long non-coding RNA, 504 nt
Organism: Oncorhynchus keta (chum salmon)
Lineage: Eukaryota; Metazoa; Chordata; Actinopteri; Salmoniformes; Salmonidae
Exons: 7
Source: RefSeq, a predicted model, not a curated record